GAUGAACGCUGGCGGCGUGCCUAAUACAUGCAAGUCGAGCGAACAGACGAGGAGCUUGCUCCUCUGACGUUAGCGGCGGACGGGUGAGUAACACGUGGAUAACCUCCCUAUAAGACUGGGAUAACUUCGGGAAACCGGAGCUAAUACCGGAUAAUAUAUUGAACCGCAUGGUUCAAUAGUGAAAGACGGUUUUGCUGUCACUUAUAGAUGGAUCCGCGCCGCAUUAGCUAGUUGGUAAGGUAACGGCUUACCAAGGCAACGAUGCGUAGCCGACCUGAGAGGGUGAUCGGCCACACUGGAACUGAGACACGGUCCAGACUCCUACGGGAGGCAGCAGUAGGGAAUCUUCCGCAAUGGGCGAAAGCUUGACGGAGCAACGCCGCGUGAGUGAUGAAGGUCUUCGGAUCGUAAAACUCUGUUAUUAGGGAAGAACAAAUGUGUAAGUAACUAUGCACGUCUUGACGGUACCUAAUCAGAAAGCCACGGCUAACUACGUG
RNAcentral lists this ribosomal RNA (497 nucleotides) under uncultured bacterium. RNAcentral's name for it is "partial 16S ribosomal RNA". It matches the Rfam family "Bacterial small subunit ribosomal RNA", at positions 28 to 507 of the family's 1533-position model. The record is from RNAcentral.